This 254-nucleotide ribosomal RNA is filed under the name uncultured bacterium. RNAcentral's name for it is "partial 16S ribosomal RNA". It matches the Rfam family "Bacterial small subunit ribosomal RNA", at positions 524 to 776 of the family's 1533-position model. The record is from RNAcentral.
UACGGGGGGAGCAAGCGUUGUUCGGAUUUACUGGGCGUAAAGGGCGCGUAGGCGGCCAGCACAAGUCAGUUGUGAAAUCUCCGGGCUUAACUCGGAAAGGUCAACUGAUACUGUGCGGCUAGAGUGCAGAAGGGGCAACUGGAAUUCUCGGUGUAGCGGUGAAAUGCGUAGAUAUCGAGAGGAACACCAGUGGCGAAGGCGAGUCCCUGGACAACUCCUGACACUGAGGCACGAAAGCUAGGGGAGCAAACAGG